UUUCCGUAGGUGAACCUGCGGAAGGAUCAUUACCGAAUUGUCAAACGGGUUGUUGCUGGUCUUCAAACGGGGACAUGUGCACGCUCUGUUUACACAUCCACUCACACCUGUGCACCCUCCGUAGUUCUAUGGUCUGGGGGACCCUGUCUUCCUGGCGUGGUUCUACGUCUUUACACACACUCUGUAAUAAAGUCUUAUGGAAUGUACGCCGCGUCUAACGCAAUACGAUACAACUUUCAGCAACGGAUCUCUUGGCUCUC
Molecule: unclassified non-coding RNA, 260 nt
Filed under: plant metagenome
Description: partial contains small subunit ribosomal RNA, internal transcribed spacer 1, and 5.8S ribosomal RNA
Source: RNAcentral